GCCGCCUUAGCUCAGUUGGUAGAGCACAACUUUCGUAAAGUUGGGGUCCGCGGUUCGAUUCCGCGAGGCGGCU
Non-coding RNA from Candidatus Kaiserbacteria bacterium, 73 nucleotides. The record is from Rfam. NCBI's taxonomy places the organism in Bacteria, Candidatus Kaiseribacteriota.